This 464-nucleotide ribosomal RNA is filed under the name uncultured bacterium. RNAcentral's name for it is "partial 16S ribosomal RNA". It matches the Rfam family "Bacterial small subunit ribosomal RNA", at positions 339 to 795 of the family's 1533-position model. The record is from RNAcentral.
CUACGGGAGGCAGCAGUGGGGAAUAUUGGACAAUGGGGGAAACCCUGAUCCAGCCAUGCCGCGUGUGUGAAGAAGGCCCGAGGGUUGUAAAGCACUUUCAGUUGGGAAGAAGGGUAGUUAGCUAAUACCUAGCUAUCUUGACAUUACCUUCAGAAGAAGCACCGGCUAACUCUGUGCCAGCAGCCGCGGUAAUACAGAGGGUGCAAGCGUUAUUCGGAAUUACUGGGCGUAAAGCGCGCGUAGGCGGAUUGUUAAGUCAGUUGUGAAAGCCCUGGGCUCAACCUAGGAAUUGCAUCUGAUACUGGCAGUCUAGAGUUUAAGAGAGGGAAGGGGAAUUCCAGGUGUAGCAGUGAAAUGCGUAGAUAUCUGGAGGAACAUCAGUGGCGAAGGCGCCUUCCUGGCUUAAAACUGACGCUGAGGUGCGAAAGCGUGGGUAGCGAACGGGAUUAGAUACCCUCGUAGUC